GAGAAAGGAGAAGAAAAAAAUAAGAAGAAGAAGGAAAAGAGGAAGAAGGAAAAGGAAGGGAAUGAUAAGAAAUAAGAAGACGAAGAAGAAGAAAAAUAGGAGAGGGAGAGAAGAAUAAGAGGAAAAAAGAAAAUAAUAAUAAUAAUAAGAAGAAGAAGAAGAAGAGAAGAAGUAAACAAGAAGAAGGAGAAGAAGAAUAAGAAGAAAAAAGAAAAAAGAAAAUAAGUAUAAGAA
RNAcentral lists this long non-coding RNA (234 nucleotides) under Hordeum vulgare. RNAcentral describes it as "long non-coding RNA (HVUL_LNC009843)". The record is from RNAcentral. Lineage: Eukaryota; Viridiplantae; Streptophyta; Magnoliopsida; Poales; Poaceae.